GCUCGAGCCUGGGUUGGCUAGGUUUGGAUCGAGCUCAAGCCUAUAGUUUGAAAAAAAGUUUGGGUCUAAGCUUAGUCCGAAGUCCGAAAAAAAAAAUUGGCCCAUGCUCGGGUAGGGGUGUGGCCUAGCCCAGCUCAGUCUAGUUCCUUCUUAGAUAGGAUUGUGGAGGUGAACAUUAUGAUGCCUUGCAAUUAUAAUAGGAUUACAUAACUGUUGCUAAGGAAUAUAUUAGGGUUUACCAUAUAAUGCAAUUUUUUUUUUUUUGAUAGAGAAUGUAGGGAUGGCAACAAGUUGAUUAUGUGUCAGGUAGGCUAUUAUCCGUAUCCAUCCUAUACUCGCUUUGGGGAGGGUAAAGUUGGACGAAAUGGGUAGAGUUAGAAGGGACGAGUUGGAUGGAAGGGUCGGAUAAAGCUGUAAAAACUGUUUUUAAAUAAAAAAGAAUAUUAAAAUAAAACUUGGUGCUUCAGAUAAUAUUAAACCAAAUAAGAGUUGAAGACAUGGAACAUAAGAUACCAAAUUUUCAACAAUAAUAGAAAUAUGACCAACAAAAAUAUUAUUCUUUAAUAAGUUAAAUGUCCCUUAAACUAAAAAAAGUAAUUAAACUAGAAAAAUGAACAACAAAACAUGGCAAGUUACCUUUUGUAUGUU
RNAcentral lists this long non-coding RNA (648 nucleotides) under Phoenix dactylifera (date palm). Its description in RNAcentral is "long non-coding RNA (PDAC_LNC009331)". Lineage: Eukaryota; Viridiplantae; Streptophyta; Magnoliopsida; Arecales; Arecaceae. The record is from RNAcentral.